CCUACGGGAGGCAGCAGUGAGGAAUAUUGGUCAAUGGACGAGAGUCUGAACCAGCCAAGUAGCGUGAAGGAUGACUGCCCUAUGGGUUGUAAACUUCUUUUAUCUGGGAAUAAAAUGUUCCACGUGUGGGUUUUUGUAUGUACCAUAUGAAUAAGGAUCGGCUAACUCCGUGCCAGCAGCCGCGGUAAUACGGAGGAUCCGAGCGUUAUCCGGAUUUAUUGGGUUUAAAGGGGGCGAAGGUGGAUGGUUAAGUCAGUUGUGAAAGUUUGCGGCUCAACCGGAAAAUUGCAGUUGAAACUGGCAGUCUUGAGUACGGUAGAGGUGGGCGGAAUUCGUGGUGUAGCGGUGAAAUGCUUAGAUAUCACGAAGAACUCCGAUUGCGAAGGCAGCUCACUGGACUGCAACUGACACUGAGGCUCGAAAGUGUGGGUAUCAAACAGGAUUAGAUACCCCUGUAGUC
RNAcentral lists this ribosomal RNA (460 nucleotides) under uncultured bacterium. RNAcentral's name for it is "partial 16S ribosomal RNA". It matches the Rfam family "Bacterial small subunit ribosomal RNA", at positions 338 to 795 of the family's 1533-position model. The record is from RNAcentral.